GGAGAGGCAAGAGCGAGAAAAGGAAGAAAUCAGGUGCAGACGUGCUGAAGAAGAUUGUGAGGCCGAUGAAGAGGAGGAAGAAAUGGUUGUAGCGGUGUAUAUGCUCAAUGAAUCAAGGCAACACCACCAUCGUCGUAGCCCGAAUGUGUGCAGACAUAGGCAGUCUCGGGAUAAGAAUCUAUUGGAAGAUUACUUUAUCCCAAAUUUGUUAUAUCAUAUUUCUUAUUUUCGAGAGAGAUAUAAUGCAGCUUCAUUUGUUCCAAAAAAUCAUGC
Molecule: long non-coding RNA, 273 nt
Filed under: Prunus persica (peach)
Lineage: Eukaryota; Viridiplantae; Streptophyta; Magnoliopsida; Rosales; Rosaceae
Description: long non-coding RNA (PPER_LNC007093)
Source: RNAcentral